Molecule: RNA transcript, 5902 nt
Organism: Onychostoma macrolepis
Lineage: Eukaryota; Metazoa; Chordata; Actinopteri; Cypriniformes; Cyprinidae
Gene: fam120b
Gene name: family with sequence similarity 120 member B
Exons: 11
Source: RefSeq, a predicted model, not a curated record
AGGAAGUGAGCGCAACAUUGUAAACACUAGCGGUUUCUUUUACUGUAGCAGCCGUUCAGCAUUGAGCGAGAGCGCGCUUAACGCUCACUAAAUCGAGUAUUCUUGUUAAACUAUGCGUGUCAUCCCACCAAAUAGUGCAUGAACUUGCGGAUGAGCUUUCACUCGGCUUAAGAUGGGUGUGAAGGGCUUACAGUACUUCAUGGAGACAUGCUGCGCAGACACUUGUGUGCCAGUGGACCUGAAACAGAUGGCAGUCGAUCAUGUCAAAGCCCAUCCGGACAGAACCGCCACAGUAGUAGUGGAUGGAAUGGCCUGUUUAAGAUACUGGUAUCGCUGUCCAGCUUGGGUCCAUGGCGGUCAGUGGCAAGAGUACAUGCAUAUCCUUCAAGAGUUUGUGGAUGAGUUCACGGCGGCAGGCAUACGCUUAGUCUUUUUCUUCGACGGAACGGUCGAGGAUCAAAAGCGGGCAGAGUGGGUGAAGAGGCGCCUGAGAGUCAACCAAGACAUCGCGAGAAUAUUUCAGCACAUUAAGACUCACGGUCAGCAGCCGAACAGCAGAGACCUUUUCUGCCUUCCCUCCGGACUCGCAACCUUCUCCAUGUUUGCCCUCAAAUGCAUCGGCCAGGAAACACGGUGCUCUGUUCGCGAAGGAGAUUAUGAGAUUUCCGACUACGCUUUGUCUCACAACUGCAUGGGCAUCCUUGGUCAAGAUACAGACUUUGUUAUCUACAACACGGUUCCAUACCUGUCCAUCAGUAAACUCAGAUUAAACAACAUGACAACAGUGCUGUUCUCCAGAGAGCGGUUAUGCCAAGUUUUGAAGCUUCAUAUGACUGACCUUCCUCUCUUGGCCUGUCUGUUGGGUAAUGACGUCGUGUCUGAACAGCAAAUCCAGCGUCUCCGCAACAGUGCUUUGGCGUUAUUUAGAAAGAAACACGGGCAGGUUCAGGGAGACAAGGUCUACGCUGUUGCAGACUUCAUUAACGUUCAUCAUCCCAGCACUGGGGCAACAUUUGGUCUUUCCUCACUUUCGUUAGUUGAAGAAGAGAAAGAAGCUUUAGAAAAAGGCAUACGCAUAUAUUUACUUCCAGGCCAAACGUCCCCUUGGUUAGAAAGCAGCCGUCUCGUACCUGAGUCCGUGUGUUUGAUGGGCAAGUAUGUACCGGGUGACAUAUUACAGGCAGCGCUAGAAAAGCACACACGGGCCGAGUGUUUCCUGGUCUAUAAUGUGUUAUAUGAUGGAGUCGUGGCGUGCAGUAACACUUUGGAAGAUGAGGAUGAGGUGGAGUUACCACCGCAGGCCAUCUUAUAUCUGCUUGUCCGAGAACGAAUCUACGGCCUUUUACUGCCAGUGCAGCCAGAUUGUUCUGGUCAGACUGUGUCAGUCAAAGAAUGGUUCGUCUUUCCAGGAAAUCCACUUAAGGAGCCAACCAGAGUCACUCCAAAACCCCUUAAUAAUCUAAAAGGGCCUCCUGAUCUGAUGGCUCUGUGGUUUAGGACGGACCCAGAGGUGAAAGCAGUCCAAACAUCAACACUCCUGGAUAUCUUUGACCUGUAUGAGUUUACUGAAGAGCUGAAAUGCUUUGACAGCCCUUUGAUUGCUGUGAUUUGUCUUGUAACCUACAUUGCCAUUCAGGCGAGACAGCUUUCCCUGGAAGACGUAGAUGCAUAUCUAAGCCAAGCUGUUUGUGUCAGACUCAAAUCCUUCAGAGAAAUGCAACAGCUCAGGACCCCUGUUGUGGACCCUAGGGCCGUCCAGCUCGGUUCUCUCUUUGUGCGGGGUCUGACCUACCUCAUCGCAGCCAACAGUGCUUGUGGUUUCCCUUUCCCAAUGGGUGAGCUCAUGCCGUGGAAGACCUUUGACGGCCUGCUCUUCCAUUCAAAGUAUCUGCAAGCCCACUCAGGCUGUCCGAAAGAGGAGCUUCUUGAAGGAAAUUCCUCUUGGAUGUCUUUGUUCAUGUCUGUCAGAGAGCUGGUGCUGGAAGCCUGCAGGAGGCGCGGCGUCUCCAUCCACAGCCGACCGCGUAGACUACAACACAGAGAUGCGAGACCCGUGGAGGCUGAUGAUCUGCAUCGAGAAAGAGGACACCAGCUCCAUCACAGCACACGGCAGGAGUUCAGACAGCAGCCCAGAGCUUCUGCACACUACCAGCACGGUAUACCACAGUACACAAGACAAACGCUGGCAUAAACAAAGAUCAAAGCUUGUUAUAGACCAAGACAUCCAAAGAGAGGAAGCUAUCACCUCGCACCACGAUGGCCCCGGUCUCAAAACUAAACAACACUGACUGAUGAGAAAUGAAUUACUAGGCUCUUGUGGAAAUAAUUGUCACCCACAGAACAAAGCAUUUCAUUCUCAGAUGUGAAUGUUCAUGUCCAUGUUCUUGCUUGCCUUAAUUUAGAUUCUGCACUUUUGUUUUGCCUGCAGAUGUUUUUGACAGAUGUGUCUGCAGUAUCAGUAAAAAUCACUCAAAAACAUCAAAUUGUACAUGAAUAUGCAUUUUUAACAGUCACAUAGGACAAACUUUGUUCAGUGAUAUCCUUGAAAGCCCUCACAAUUAUAUUGUAUAGUGAGAUUACAGUCUUUUUUCCGCCUUCCAUGUGGAUGAUAUGAAUCAGUGACCAAAAUGGAAGCUUCCUAAACUGUGUGCCAAACCCAUUCAUUCUGCUCAGACCCUAAUUAGUCUCAGAUGAUCUCUUACCUUUCAACUGCUGGUUUGGCGUUGACUCCAGUUGUUCACAAUUACAAAGAUUAUUUGUCUCCCUCAACACAUUCAGAUUCUAGAUUUUCAAGCAGUCAUUUUCUUUUAAAAAUUGUUAAUGAUAAUGUGCGUGUCAUUUCAUCAAAAGUUGCGGUUGUGGUUCUGGCAUAUCGUGACCAAAAUGUACUUUUGAUACUCUGUUUCAUGUCCAUCAUGGCUAAAAGUUCUAGUAUUACAGUUCAUGCAGUAUUUUAUGUCAUGCAAACAUUAAAAUCUGCCUAAAAUAUUGCAUGGAUUCGGCGUAUUACAUGUCCGUUGAAUUUUCAUCUUCAGCCAAGGUCUAAGGGCACAUUUUCCAUUUUCCUUGUGAUUUAUUAAUCUGAUUAUGAUGAAACUCUUGUCCCAAUGCAGAAACUCUGUAAAUUAAUUUAUUGCUAUCCAGACAAUGAGUUUUUCUUGGUCUGUUCCCCUCUUUGCCCUGGCUGUGAAACAGUGCCUCUGCUAGGUAUUGUUAAACACCCCAGAGCGGAAAUAGGAUAUGGAGAAAGUUCCACAGCUUAAGUGGUCAAAGCACAGCUCUUCCCCUUAUCUACAGAGAAUGAAAGCCGCAGGAAUGAAAAACAGUACUAGACAAACACGUGACUCGGCUAGGCAUGGCAAGAGCAUAUAGGCACAGCAGGAAAUGGAGGCGACAGAUUUACUCAUGCAAAACAAAGUGCUGAUUGACGAACCUUUGGCAGUUGAAAAGCAUUUGAAAUCGACAGUAGGGGAUCAUUGGAAAUUGAAAACUGUGAAACCAUCAGUAAAGUACAAAAUAUGAAUGGAAAAAAUGAAUAAAAAGGAAUAGGAAUAAAUUACAUUUUAAAAUAUAUUAAAAUUGAAAACAGUUAUAUAAAAUUGUAAUAAUAUUUUACAGUAUUACUGUUUUUACUGCAUUUUUUAAAAUCAAAUAAUGCAGCCUUGGUGAGCAUAGAGACUUCUUUUAAAAACAUAAAAAUCAUUGCCUGAACUUGGUUUAACUCUGUCAAAUAGGUUAUAUGUUAUCGCUAAACAUCGGUUUCCUUACAGAGAAAAUGAACAUGAUUCUUUAUUUCCAGAACCCGGCUGUCGUGCUUCAGUGAAAUGGGCUGGGAUGUUUCUAUGCAAAUGUAACUCUGAAUGAAGUUAUUUAUAAGCAUACAGAAUCAUUUCCUGUGCAGCGUUUUGCUUUGAUUCUAAAUCUGUUUGCUCAGUCCUGGCACGACCGGGUGCCAAUUGUGUAUCCAGUGCUUUUUUAAACUAAAUAAAUAAAACCACUAGAUUAGCAACACUCACUACAACACAUUGUCCUUUUCAUCUGUUUAAUUAUAGCGUGUGUGUGUGUAUGUGUGUGCUAAUGGUAAAUAUAGCCUCUAUUCUCAUGGCCGUGUGGUCAGAGCUCCGCGGGCUGACGCUGGAGUUAGCGUGAGGGUGAUUGGGUGCCGGCCCGUUGAGGGUGGGGAACAGAGCGUUUGUUCUGCAGCAGGCGCUGUGGGGUGGAGGUGGGGACACACGCUGCCACAAGAAGCCAGACUUUGGCACGCUGUCAACACAGUUUCCUUCACAGAGCACGAGAGAGACGGAGGGAGGGAAAGCAGGCAUGAUGGAGCCAACAAUUAUCUGGCGCUCUGUCCCUCACAUAUUCACUCUCUGCUUGUGGAAUUGAGGGCAGGCGGGGCUGCACUUUUGAGUCUGGGGUCCGUUUUGCGGAAAACCGUCUUGGCUGUGACAGAGUACUGGGGGCAUUUUAUUUAGACAUUUUGUAGUCCCCAAAUAAACAGCGGCCGCAGAAAAUUUCUACUUUCUGUGAAGUUUUGGUUUUGGUCAGUGUGUGAAUAAUAAAAUGACUUUCAGCUGCAGUCAACUCACUUUUCUAAAGCAGUUUCUGUAAGGAGUUUUCAUGCUGCAAUCUUUCUCUUACAUUUUUAAAACAUUUAAAAUCACAUACAUAUAUAUACUUGACAAGUGAAUUUAUAAUAAAAUGUAUUAUAAUAAAACUACACUACCGUUCAAAAGUUUGGGGAGAGUAAGGUUUAUUUUAUUUGAAGAAGUUACUUAUGCUCACCAAGACUGCAUUUAUUUUAAAUAUUAUAAGUUUCAAAUACCCGUUUUGUAUUUGAAUAUUUUUUUUUUAAAUGUAAUUUAUUCCUGUGCUGUAUUUUCAGCAUCAUUACUGCAGUCUUCAGUGUCACAUGAUCCUUCAGGGAUCAUUCUAAUAUGCUGAUUUGUUGCUCAAGAAACAUUUAUUAUUAUUAUUAAUGUUAAAAAAAGUUGUGCUGCUGAUUCAUAUUUUGUGGAAAUAGUGAUUUUUCAGGAUUCUUUGAUGAAUAGAAAAAUUUUUACUGUCACUUUUGAUCAAUUUAAUGCAUCCUUGAUGAAUAAAAGCAUUAAAAAAAAACUUUUGAAAAGUAGUGUAUAACAAGUAUAAGUAUUUCUUAUGACACUAUAAACUGUUUGUUUUGGACUCAAGUUUCAAUUGGGGGGGCUAGAACCCCUAAACCAAACCUGUUGUGUUUCAUGAUAAUAAUGUAAUCGUACACCACGAGGACAUAGAAAUGUCUGCUUGAUGAUGGUGGUAAUGAUGAUAAUUACAGAUUGUUAGAUCUGUUUUCUGUAAUAACCACCCUCCCGCGACUUUUGGUUUCUGAGUCAAAACAUAAAGUUGUUCCGUAGUUAAAAAUGACCCAAUGUCACUGUCUCCGAAGAUCUGUAAUUGCUUCCUGACCCAAAAAAUAAAAACAGCAGUCUAAUAUUACUGCAGCAUCAGGUAGUGUUAUGAUUCACUGUGGGAACUUAUCUUUCUUGAGAGACCACUGCUUAAAAUGCAGAAAAUGGCUUUGCAUGAGUCUAAAAAUACUGAGGUGUACUGAACACAUAUACAGCCGCUGAUAUUUACGGCAGCAGCUAUGAAUAGAGGACUGUAAAACUCAGGAACUGGCCCCAGAUUUACUCUCGCCGUAAUUGUAUGUGGACUCACACCAAGAUACAAACCAAGGCAAGAAAAAUAGACAACUACUGGAAAAAAAUAACACUUUUUAUUUUUGGUGUUGUUAGUUAUUUUGUUUUUGGACUAGGUGCAAAACUCUGCGUGCGAUUCUCAUGACUAAUGCUUACAAACUUUCAUAUAGAUCUGUUUGUUUCUUACUGACGUCUUAUAUCAACAUGCCAAUGUAGAGAACAAU